GUGACAUCACAAAGGCCUGUGACAGGACCUCAGCCUAUUGGGGGACAGUCGUGGGGAGGUGGUGACCUCAUAAAGCAACCCUGACACAGCCAGGCAAGGCUGGGGCAGCCUCAGAGACUCGCGUGGCUUUGCAGCUACAAGGCUCCAUCUCCAGGUCUGUCCUUGGGGACGGACAGAGAACUAGGGUUCAUGUAGCUUCUUUUUCCCCUUUUCUAUUCCUUCCUGCCUCCAUCAAAGAGAGGUAGAGAGGUCCAGAGUGCCCCAGGGGAGAGCCAAGGCUAUAAGGAGUCACAGAGCACUCUUCUGAUUCACCAUCCCCCUCCCUGAAUUAGAUGUAAGUGACCUCUCACCCCGGCUUCCUGACUCCAGACAGAAGCAGGCUGGCUUGGAUAGGCUGUAGGACCUGCAGCUGCAGGGGUUAUGGGUUGGGAGUGUUACCUUUGGGAAGGCAGAGUCAGAGCAGGGAGGGAGACAGACUUGGGUUAAGUUCCUCUUUUCCUGGUUCAGUGGAGACCCUGGGACUUUAAAAGGACCAUGUUCCAACCCCUGCUCCAGCCAAGUUAAUUCCUGGUCUUGGGUCCCUUCUUGUCCUCCUGGAGCAUCUGGGGGUACAAGUCCUCAUGGAGGGCCCUGCCCACCGUUUGCUCCAGAGUCCCUUGGGGGCAGAAGGAGCUGAGGGUCUAGCUCCUUUCCCCCGUGUCUCCCGCAGAGGGACUUGGGGGAGAGAGACUCCUGGCCCAGGGGAGAUUGGGAGCUGGUAGGAGAAGCUGAUGGAGCUUCCACCCCUCCCUUCCAUUAGAACUCAGCACAGUUCCCCAAACUAGGGAACGUGGUGGCUUAGCUGUGAUUGUCCAUCAGUGACCCAGCCAAGGACAUUGGCUGGCUGACCAGGGAGGGCAUUUAUCGGCUACACCAGUUUACAGAGGUAAGGAAACCCAGCUGGGAAAUGGGACCCAAUAGAAAAGUGAUGCUGACAGAAGCCAGGUAAUGGCUGAAGAA
This is a non-coding RNA of Pelodiscus sinensis (Chinese soft-shelled turtle), 999 nucleotides long. The record is from RefSeq and is a predicted model, not a curated record. Lineage: Eukaryota; Metazoa; Chordata; Testudines; Trionychidae.